Molecule: ribosomal RNA, 503 nt
Filed under: uncultured bacterium
Lineage: Bacteria
Description: partial 16S ribosomal RNA
Rfam family: Bacterial small subunit ribosomal RNA
Source: RNAcentral
AUUGAACGCUGGCGGCAGGCUUAACACAUGCAAGUCGAGCGGGGUGAUGGUGCUUGCACUAUCACUUAGCGGCGGACGGGUGAGUAAUGCUUAGGAAUCUGCCUAUUAGUGGGGGACAACAUCUCGAAAGGGAUGCUAAUACCGCAUACGUCCUACGGGAGAAAGCAGGGGAUCUCUUGUGACCUUGCGCUAACAGAUGGGCCUAAGUCGGAUUAGCUAGUUGGUGGGGUAAAGGCCUACCAAGGCGACGAUCUGUAGCGGGUCUGGGAGGAUGAUCCGCCACACUGGGACUGAGACACGGCCCAGACUCCUACGGGAGGCAGCAGUGGGGAAUAUUGGACAAUGGGGGGAACCCUGAUCCAGCCAUGCCGCGUGUGUGAAGAAGGCCUUAUGGUUGUAAAGCACUUUAAGCGAGGAGGAGGCUCUUUUGGUUAAUACCCUAGAUGAGUGGACGUUACUCGCAGAAUAAGCACCGGCUAACUCUGUGCCAGCCGCCGCCGUAA